Drosophila miranda is the source of this 2443-nucleotide long non-coding RNA. RefSeq lists it as uncharacterized. The record is from RefSeq and is a predicted model, not a curated record. The transcript is spliced from 3 exons. NCBI's taxonomy places the organism in Eukaryota, Metazoa, Arthropoda, Insecta, Diptera, Drosophilidae.
AUUAACGGAACGGUGUUAUUUAGGUCAGCUAAAAUCCGAAUUUAUACGGAAUGUUAAUCCAGAUUACACAAUUUUACCCAAAGAGAAAACUUGUUAGGAUUCCAUUAUAACUGCGAUUAUUUCGACCGCAACUGUACUCGGAUGCAUGUAUGUAUGUACAUAUGUCUAGUAAGCUACGUGUACGUGUGAUUGUCGGCGAGCUUUUGCGUGCAGGUUUUGUACAAUUCAUACAUACAUACAUAUAUGCAUGCACAUAUGUGUGUAAGAUUGAUUGUGUGCGGCUUCAAUAUAUGUAAAUACAUACAUAUGUGUGUAUAUAUGUAAGUAUGUAUGUACAAUACAUAUUGGAUAUUUUGCUUUACUCGUCAGCGGGUGGAGUGCGUUGUAGUAGUGGAGAGGAGUGCAGUGUAGUGUAGUGGAAUGGAGUUCGUAUUUGUGCGGAGCUCUGCAUGAACUAAUCAACACUUUGACAAUGGAUACAUAGCUAAAGAAUGAAAUCGUAGCUUCGGCGUGUAACUCUUCUCAGAUAAUUCAUAUUUCAGUUAUCUAACAUACAUAAGUAUAUUCAUAGCACAGGCUACCAGUGAUUCUGCUGCAGGUUUGCACAGUACGGUAAAUCUAAGUACCAAAGACUAUACCUAAAAUUCGUGUUUGUAUUUUGAAACGAUUAGGAGCUUAGGGAACUAUCUUGUAGUACCGAAUCUUGUCAAAAGACCCUCUUUUAUAUAAAUAUUCGUUCGCCCAUGCUAAGAGAAAAAAAACGUAGUCUGCACACUCGAAAAAUUGUCACUAAUGUAUGAAUGGUCUCUUCUGAAUACACACAAACAAAAAUUAAAAAAUUUUGAUAAUUGGGCAACGAUUUUAUUUUAAAUAUGUACAAAUGGUGAAUGUCUUCAAUUCUGUAAUUCUGUUAAGACCAACUAAAAAGGACCAUUUUGAUGUUCUAAUAAAUCUUCAUAAAAUUUAAUUUUCCUUCAAAAUUUUUUUAAUGGAAUUGCGCAAAUACCACAUCUAUUCUUUAAAAACGUAUUAUGCAGUAUGCAUAUCUUAGAAAAGCAUAUUAACAUUAGAAAUGUCAGUGUGGGCCUGUCCCAAAAAGGAAGUUUGAUUUUUUGUAAUAUUAGAUACGAGCAUAUGUGUGUACAUAUGGAUGUGUAAGUAUGUAUGAUGGUAGGCCGAUGCUGAAAAUUCAUGUAUAUAAAAUGUACAUCAACAAUUUAGAAUCACAGUAGGUUCUUGUUUUGGCGCAUCAGAACUUUAAUUGAUAAUCUGAUUAUGAACAUUUAAUUUUUCCCGGAACGAAGCUAAUUUCAGAACGAGCAUAUCUUGUUUCUAAUUGAACUCUUAAUGUAACAGAAUACAAAUUUGAAAUGUUCGUUUGUAAUCAUAGUGACGUGAAAAUAUUCGGUAGGAUUGGAUCCAUGCAUGGCUCUAAUUUGGACCAUUUAAACAGAUCACUGAAAAAUAUAAAAAAAUAUUUGCAUACAUAUGCAUGAAAAUGAGUACACUCGUUCUGUGCCAAAAAAUGUCGUUUCCUGUGCGUUCAUGCAGAGCACAUUAUCGCAAAAAUAUUUACAUGUGUAUGUGUUUAUAUUGCUAAUACAUUGGAAAAUUUAUUGGACAAAAAAAGUGUAUGAAUCAAAUGAUAGAUAUAAAUAUGCAUACAUACUAUAUGUUUGUAUGCAUAAACCUCAGAUGAAUAAAUGAUAUAUAAAGUAAUUAGUAUUUCUCGAAAACUAAAACUCGACAAUGGAACUUGAUUUUUUUUUAUAAAAUAAGUAAGUAGUUAGUUUUGUUAAUUUGAAUAUAUAAACAUUACCCAUUCACUCAUUUCAUGCGUAUCUGGAUUUCUAUGAUGAUAAUUGAGGAUAAGUAUGGUUGACACAACUGAUGAGGCCACCAUAAACAUAAUGCAAUUGAAAUAAGUUCCUAGAAGGACACAAAAAUUACACAAACAUUGUGGUAAUUGUUCGAUUCGCUUUGUGAUUUUUCUUCUUUUUUUCUUAGCCUAGUCCCCAAUCGAUAUCGAUGACUGGAGGAUAACGGACUGUUCCUCCAUUGCUUCCUAACCGCACCUGCUGAUGCAUGUAUGUAUGUACAUAUGUACAUAUGUAGUACAGUAAUGCAUACACGGUUUCAACAAAAAUGAAGCACCCUCUUCUAUCGUCCGGUAUAUGUAAGGUUAUGGUAUAAAUUAAUUUUCAUAAUUAUGUAUAUUUUAGUUUAUUGUAAAAUUUGAAAGACACUGAAGUAAUAUAGUUACUAAAUGGUUAGCCUUGCAUGUUCAUAUGUGUGUGUUCGCGUAAUUGUGUGUAUACUCGGAUUGUGUCUCAGUUUUUAAGAAAGUCCACUUGAGUGUGUUUUUGAGGAGGGUAGAAAAAAGGUAAGAAAAGGGUGCAAUUCUGUUUUCUUGUUAUAAAAGAGCACGAGUAUAAGAGAAAGA